UAGGGAAUAUUGGACAAUGGGCGCAAGCCUGAUCCAGCCAUGCCGCGUGCAGGAUGACGGUCCUAUGGAUUGUAAACUGCUUUUGUACAGGAAGAAACAGUUCUACGUGUAGAACCUUGACGGUACUGUAAGAAUAAGGAUCGGCUAACUCCGUGCCAGCAGCCGCGGUAAUACGGAGGGUGCAAGCGUUGUCCGGAUUUAUUGGGUUUAAAGGGUGCGUAGGUGGCCCUGUAAGUCAGUGGUGAAAUAUCUCAGCUUAACUGAGAGGGUGCCAUUGAUACUGCAGGGCUUGAGUACAGAUGAGGUAGGCGGAAUUGACGGUGUAGCGGUGAAAUGCAUAGAUAUCAAGAGGAACACCUGAGGUGAAGACGGGUUGCUGGGCUGACACUGACGCUGAGGCGCGAAAGCCAGGGGAGCAAACGGGAUUAGAUACCCCAGUAGUCCCUGAGCGGGCUGGCAAGGCGCAU
RNAcentral lists this ribosomal RNA (467 nucleotides) under uncultured bacterium. RNAcentral describes it as "partial 16S ribosomal RNA". It matches the Rfam family "Bacterial small subunit ribosomal RNA", at positions 355 to 825 of the family's 1533-position model. The record is from RNAcentral.